GGCUGGUUCGAAGAUAAUGUUAUCUCAAUUAAUUGUUCACAGUCAGUUACAGAUUGAACUCCUUGUUCUACUCUUUCCCCACUUCUCACUGCUGCACUUGACUAGUCUAGA
Molecule: Y RNA, 111 nt
Filed under: Macaca nemestrina (pig-tailed macaque)
Lineage: Eukaryota; Metazoa; Chordata; Mammalia; Primates; Cercopithecidae
Description: Y RNA (ENSMNEG00000007617.1)
Rfam family: Y RNA
About the family: Y RNAs are components of the Ro ribonucleoprotein particle (Ro RNP), in association with Ro60 and La proteins.
Source: Rfam by way of RNAcentral